GCGGCGGGCGACUGCCGCAGGUCCGGAUCAGGUAGUGCGUGCCGGACCCGAUAUUCAGCAGAAUAAUCUGAUCGCCGCACCCUUCCGUUCCAACGGUUGGGUGCGGCUUUUG
This 112-nucleotide small RNA is filed under the name Sinorhizobium meliloti 2011. Its description in RNAcentral is "putative ncRNA". Lineage: Bacteria; Pseudomonadati; Pseudomonadota; Alphaproteobacteria; Hyphomicrobiales; Rhizobiaceae. The record is from RNAcentral.